GAGAGAGAGAAGCAGAGGUGAAAGCAGCAGUGACAACCGUGACAGCGGCGCCGGCGGUUAGACAGGGCUAAAACCACACAAGGUUGACGACUGCCCCGGAAGCACUUUCCAGGACCUAUCAGGGAGAAGUCCCGGGCGCGGGCGCAGGCAGGAGUCAUUAUGGCGGCCCGCAUUGGCUCCAUGGCAGGCUUGCUCUGCGUUCGCUGGUGGAGUUCCGCGCAGCUCGCAGCCAGAGGAGGCCCGCUAGUUGCCAGCCAGCGAUGGGCGGGCUCCUCGGCAGACACCGUGUACGACGUGGUGGUGUCAGGAGGAGGCCUAGUGGGCUCUGCCAUGGCUUGUGCCUUAGGACAUGAUAUUCACUUUCAUGACAAGAAAAUCCUGUUGCUGGAGGCGGGUCCAAAGAAAGCCCUGGAGAAACUGUCAGAGACUUACAGCAACAGAGUCAGCUCCAUAUCCCCUGGCUCCACAACCCUGCUCAGCAGUUUUGGUGCAUGGGACCACAUCUGCAAUAUGCGCUGCAAAGCCUUCCGGAGGAUGCAGGUGUGGGACUCCUGCUCAGAGGCCUUGAUAAUGUUCGACAGGGACAACCUGGAUGACAUGGGCUAUAUAGUGGAAAAUGACGUCAUCAUGUAUGCCCUCACCAAACAGCUGGAGGCUGUGGCAGAUCGAGUGAAGGUUCUCUAUGAGAGCAAAGCUGUUGGCUAUUCCUGGCCUGGUGCAUUUUCCAUGGCAGACUCCAGCCCUUGGGUCCAUAUUACCCUAGGUGAUGGCAGUACCCUCCAGACCAAACUGUUGAUUGGUGCUGAUGGGCACAAGUCAGGAGUGAGGCAAGCUGCUGGGAUCCAGAAUGUCAGCUGGAAGUACGACCAGUCUGCUGUGGUGGCCACUCUCCACUUAUCAGAGGCCACAGAAAACAAUGUAGCCUGGCAGAGAUUUCUUCCCUCUGGGCCUAUUGCUCUGCUCCCGGCGGGCAUGUGCCACCACACCAGGCUGAGGCUCUUCUUUUGACACAGCUCUCGGAUACCUUGAGCUCCUUGGUCUGGUCCACAUCACACGAGCAUGCAGCAGAGCUGGUCAGCAUGGAUGAGGAAGAAUUCGUGGAUGCCAUCAACUCUGCCUUUUGGAGUGAUGUUCACCACACAGACUUCGUCGACUCUGCCAGCGCCAUGGUGCGCCAUGCUGUCGCCCUUCUGAAGCCCACUAAGGUCUCAGCCCGUCAGCUGCCCCCAAGUAUAGCCAAGGUGGAUGCUAAAAGCAGAGCCCUCUUUCCUCUGGGGCUGGGACAUGCUGCUGAGUACGUCCGGCCUCGGGUGGCCCUCAUUGGUGAUGCAGCCCACAGAAUCCAUCCACUCGCGGGACAAGGUGUCAACAUGGGCUUCGGGGAUAUUUCCAGCUUGGUUCAUCAUCUCAGUACAGCAGCCUUCAAUGGGAAGGACUUAGGCUCCAUGAGCCACCUCACAGGUUAUGAGACAGACAGACAGCGUCAUAACACUGCUCUCCUGGCUGCUACUGACCUGUUGAAAAGGCUCUACUCUACCAGUGCCACUCCCCUCGUGCUGCUCAGGACCUGGGGCUUGCAGGCCACGAACGCAGUGUCUCCUCUCAAAGAACAGAUUAUGGCCUUUGCGAGCAAAUGAGUGCUUCUCUUCUGGAGACCGUGAUGACAAAGAACACCUAGCCCUGGGGCCUUCCCAAUGUGGUUUAAUAAAUUUACACUAGAACUUG
This is an RNA transcript of Mus musculus (house mouse), 1725 nucleotides long. It is a transcript of the gene named coenzyme Q6 monooxygenase, with no coding region annotated. NCBI's taxonomy places the organism in Eukaryota, Metazoa, Chordata, Mammalia, Rodentia, Muridae. The transcript has 13 exons. The record is from RefSeq and is marked validated.